This 70-nucleotide transfer RNA is filed under the name Noctilio leporinus (greater bulldog bat). RNAcentral describes it as "tRNA-Trp". Lineage: Eukaryota; Metazoa; Chordata; Mammalia; Chiroptera; Noctilionidae. The record is from RNAcentral.
AGGAAUUUAGGUUAGAUCACAGACCAAGAGCCUUCAAAGCUCUAAGCAAAUACUAUAUAUUUAAUUCCUG